GCAUAGUUUCAGGGUUGGGUGCAAUUCCCUACCGGCGGUAACUGGCGGGUCGGCGCAAGCCGGCCGGACCGCGCGUCUGCAUAAGUCAGCGCGCGCCAGGAGCCCGCGACCCGCGUAAGCGGCUGACCUGGUGAGAUUCCAGGGCCGACGGUACAGUCCGGAUGGAAGAAACGGAGG
RNAcentral lists this non-coding RNA (177 nucleotides) under Enorma massiliensis. RNAcentral describes it as "FMN riboswitch aptamer (RFN element)". It matches the Rfam family "FMN riboswitch aptamer (RFN element)". From Rfam's summary of the family: The RFN element is a highly conserved domain that is found frequently in the 5'-untranslated regions of prokaryotic mRNAs that encode for flavin mononucleotide (FMN) biosynthesis and transport proteins. This element is a metabolite-dependent riboswitch that directly binds FMN in the absence of proteins. The record is from Rfam by way of RNAcentral. Lineage: Bacteria; Bacillati; Actinomycetota; Coriobacteriia; Coriobacteriales; Coriobacteriaceae. RNAcentral also lists the same sequence under 1 other name.